UUUUCAAGCUCCAUGGAGAAAAACUGCCAUGGCGCGUUGUAGACUAAAGGGGUGUUAUCUUGCGUGGGCCGGGUAUAGAUCCGUUGGAACACGGUAUCAUAGAGGGUGAGAAUCCCGUCUGUGACUCGGUCAAUUAUCCAUGCAUAUACGUUACGCUUCCAAAGAGUCGGGUUGUUUGGGAAUGCAGCCCAAAAUGGGUGGUAAAUUUCAUCUAAGGCUAAAUAUUGGCACGAGACCGAUAGCGAACAAGUACCAUGAGGGAAAGAUGAAAAGAACUUUGAAAAGAGAGUCAAAAAGUACGUGAAACCGUUAAAGGGGAAACGAAUGGAGCUAGCAUUUGCGGCUGCCACAAUCAGUCAGACGGACUGUGGGGGGCUCUUGUGUCAAGGUUACGAAGGCCCUUUACGGGGCUUUUGGCCUUAGCAUGGGUUUCUUUUCCCAUGGAGCGGCUGGUGCACUUGUGGUACGUUGCAGGCCAACAUCAGUUUUUCUCAGCACACAAUCUUCAGGGGAAGGUAGUUGCGGCGCCUCGGUGUCGUAAUGUUAUAACCCUUGUCGUGCCAUGUGCUGGGAGAGACUGAGGAGUAGCAGUGCGCAUAAAUUCGGAGAGCUACCGCUGGGGUUGCGGGUGUGGAAGGACUGUUCCCAUGUCUUUUAACCGAGCGUGGUGAGCAGUUGUCUAUGCCGUUAAUUUGAGGAGGUCGUUCCAAUUUAUUGGAAAGGCCUGCUUGAAGAUCUGCAGCCUGACACGGGGUGUACCCAGACAACGCGCUUGUGAUGUUGGCGACAAAUGGCUCCAUCCGACCCGUCUUGAAACACGGACCAAGGAGUCUAACAUAUACGCGAGUCUUUGGGUUGAAAGCCCGCAGGCGAAAUGAAAGUGAAGGCAUACAUGGUGUGCUGAGGUGAGACGUCUUGGGCCUUCCUCCGUCAAAAAGGGGAGGGUGCAGGACCGCAUCAUCGACCGAUCCGGAUGGUUCUAUCCUGAAAGAUUUGAGUAAGAGCGUAUCUGUUGGGACCCGAAAGAUGGUGAACUAUGCCUGAACAGGGUGAAGUCUGAGGAAACUCAGAUGGAAGCUCGUAGCGAUUCUGACGUGCAAAUCGAUCGUCUGAUUUGGGUAUAGGGGCGAAAGACUAAUCGAACUAUCUAGUAGCUGGUUCCCUCCGAAGUUUCCCUCAGGAUAGCUGGAACUAAAAUAACGCAGUUUUAUCAGGUAAAGCGAAUGAUUAGAGGCCUUGGGGUUGAAAUAACCUCAACCUAUUCUCAAACUUUAAAUAGGUAAGAAGCCUGGCUUGCUUAAUUGAAGCCAGGCAAUAUACUGAAUGCAAGUUCCAAGUGGGCCAUUUUUGGUAAGCAGAACUGGCGAUGCGGGAUGAACCGAACGCAAAGUUAAAGUGCCAAAGUUCACGCUCACCUAGAACCCAGAAAAGGUGUUGGCUGAUGAAGACAGCAGGACGGUGGCCAUGGAAGUCGGAACCCGCUAAGGAGUGUGUAACAACUCACCUGCCGAAUCAGCCAGCCCUGAAAAUGGAUGGCGCUCAAGCGUGACACUCAUACUUUGCCGUUGCUUUUAUAUAAUAAUAAAAAUAAAGAAAGCAACGAGUAGGAGGGCGUGGAGGUCGUGAAGCAGCUUAGGGCGUAAGCCUGAGUGAAACGGCC
Molecule: ribosomal RNA, 1660 nt
Filed under: Paramoebidium sp. NS-35-W18
Lineage: Eukaryota; Ichthyosporea; Ichthyophonida; Amoebidiaceae
Description: eukaryotic LSU rRNA
Rfam family: Eukaryotic large subunit ribosomal RNA
Source: RNAcentral